Molecule: ribosomal RNA, 468 nt
Filed under: uncultured bacterium
Lineage: Bacteria
Description: partial 16S ribosomal RNA
Rfam family: Bacterial small subunit ribosomal RNA
Source: RNAcentral
GACGAACGCUGGCGGCGUGCUUAACACAUGCAAGUCGAACGGAAAGGCCCUGCUUUUGUGGGGUGCUCGAGUGGCGAACGGGUGAGUAACACGUGAGUAACCUGCCCUUGACUUUGGGAUAACUUCAGGAAACUGGGGCUAAUACCGGAUAGGAGCUCCUGCUGCAUGGUGGGGGUUGGAAAGUUUCGGCGGUUGGGGCUGGACUCGGGGCUUAUCAGCUUGUUGGUGGGGUAGUGGCUUACCAAGGCUUUGACGGGUAGCCGGCCUGAGAGGGUGACCGGCCACAUUGGGACUGAGAUACGGCCCAGACUCCUACGGGAGGCAGCAGUGGGGAAUAUUGCACAAUGGGCGGAAGCCUGAUGCAGCAACGCCGCGUGCGGGAUGACGGCCUUCGGGUUGUAAACCGCUUUCGCCUGUGACGAAGCGUGAGUGACGGUAAUGGGUAAAGAAGCACCGGCUAACUACGUG